CAGCCGCCACGGUAAUACGUAGGUGGCAAGCGUUGUCCGGAAUUAUUGGGCGUAAAGGGCUCGCAGGCGGUUUCUUAAGUCUGAUGUGAAAGCCCCCGGCUCAACCGGGGAGGGUCAUUGGAAACUGGGAAACUUGAGUGCAGAAGAGGAGAGUGGAAUUCCACGUGUAGCGGUGAAAUGCGUAGAGAUGUGGAGGAACACCAGUGGCGAAGGCGACUCUCUGGUCUGUAACUGACGCUGAGGAGCGAAAGCGUGGGGAGCGAACAGGAUUAGAUACCCGUGUAGUCCCUGUCUCUUAUAA
Molecule: ribosomal RNA, 301 nt
Filed under: uncultured bacterium
Lineage: Bacteria
Description: partial 16S ribosomal RNA
Rfam family: Bacterial small subunit ribosomal RNA
Source: RNAcentral